This is a long non-coding RNA of Oncorhynchus tshawytscha (Chinook salmon), 305 nucleotides long. RefSeq lists it as uncharacterized. The transcript has 3 exons. The record is from RefSeq and is a predicted model, not a curated record. Lineage: Eukaryota; Metazoa; Chordata; Actinopteri; Salmoniformes; Salmonidae.
GUCCAUAUCAACCAUAUCUAACUACUACAUUAUUCAAAACACCAAGGUAAAGUCCAUAUCAAACAUUAUCAACUAUAUCUAACUACUACAUUAUUCAAAACACCAAGGUAAAGUCCAUAUCAAACAUUAUCAACUAUAUCUAACUACUACAUUAUUCAAAACACCAAGGUAAAGUCCAUAUCAAACAUUAUCAACUAUAUCUAACUACUACAUUAUUCAAAACACCAAGGUAAAGUCCAUAUCAAACAUUAUCAACUAUAUCUAACUACUACAUUAUUCAAAACACCAAGGUAAAGUCCAUAUCA